This 304-nucleotide ribosomal RNA is filed under the name uncultured bacterium. RNAcentral's name for it is "partial 16S ribosomal RNA". It matches the Rfam family "Bacterial small subunit ribosomal RNA", at positions 506 to 807 of the family's 1533-position model. The record is from RNAcentral.
AAGCAGCCGCCGCGGUAAUACGUAGGUGGCAAGCGUUGUCCGGAAUUAUUGGGCGUAAAGGGCUCGCAGGCGGUUUCUUAAGUCUGAUGUGAAAGCCCCCGGCUCAACCGGGGAGGGUCAUUGGAAACUGGGAAACUUGAGUGCAGAAGAGGAGAGUGGAAUUCCACGUGUAGCGGUGAAAUGCGUAGAGAUGUGGAGGAACACCAGUGGCGAAGGCGACUCUCUGGUCUGUAACUGACGCUGAGGAGCGAAAGCGUGGGGAGCGAACAGGAUUAGAUACCCCCGUAGUCCCUGUCUCUUAUAC